CUCGGAACAGUUCCAAAUAGAAAUAACAGUGCAGAAAUAUAGGCAUGCUUUCAAGUUAAUAGUUGAAAAUAGUAAAAUAGAUAAAAUUUGAACAAUAUGAAGAAUACUCUUCUACUUCUACAUGCCAAUACACAUGUUGUAUGUGAUGCACAAUGUUGACAGUCUCAUGUGCUCACGCUCUCAAAUGCUCAACCACUCGAACUAUAUAUGGAACACACGACCUAGGGAAGAUCCAUCCCGAAAUAUAUACAUCACUGACCACUACUCACCCAGUACCGAGGAAGGCUAAUCCAGCCCCUGGAGAAGAUCCAUCUAUAGGUAUAAAAUGAUUUGGACAAGAUUCAUGUCUAGGGAAGAUCUAUCCCUCAAUAAUAUCAACCACGCUCACUAUAAGUUGUGUACAGACUCCAAAGGGGCUUCUUUAGCCCAAGCGCUAUCAUAAAAUCUGUAUAACCCCUGUGGCGUGCAACCCGAUCUAAUUCACACUCAUAAUCAGGUUCUCGACCUCACUCAGUUAUCAAUCUCUCUAGUCUAACUCACGAGCUCAUAAUCUCUUGAAUACUACCCUGAAAAAAUGAUAUGAUGUAUCAAUAAAUAACAAAUGAUACUGAGAUAUGAUAUGAAAUGAAUGAAUAUGACUGGGUAUGAAAUAUCAAUGAAAUCAGUAAGGUGAAAGCAAGAAACGACCACUAUAGGUCCCGAUAGUACCGGCAUAAAGCAUAAACAUGAUAUAUAGCAUGAUUGAUAGCUCAAUUACUUUAUCACAUGAUGAAAACACGGGUCAACAAGAUAGAAUCACUAUACGGUGCCAUGGAAUCAACCAAAUCACUAGUCUCAUGCCCACACCCAUCACUUGGCAUGUGCGUCACGUCAAUACCUAUCACAUAACGUAUAAUCUGGGGUUUCGAACCCUCAGAACCAUGUUUGAAAGUGUUACUUACCUCAAUCCGAGUAAAACUCUACUUCAAAUGUCUUUACCUCUCAAAUCGGUCUCCAAACGUCUUGAAUCUAGCCACAAGCAGUGCAAUACAAUUAACAUAGGCUAAAUGGAACAUAGGCUAAAGGGAUCAAUUCCACAAAGUCACAAAACCCAAAAGUCCAUUCACUCACGAGUCUAACCAUACUAAAUUUAUCAAAAUUCAAAACAAAACGGCCUUUUAAAUCUCCAAAAUUCACUCUCCAAAUCGCUAGUCGCAAACCCCAAAUUCCAUCUCAAAAGCACACCAACUAGGAGGAAAAUCAGUGGGGAAAUAUUAUUAUUGAAACAAAAUGAACACAAUGAGCUUACCUCAAUAAUCUCUUCAAAAACCCUCUUAAAAACCUCCAAAAUCAGAGCUCAAAAUUAGAAAUGGCAAAAAAUUUCGGAACCUCGCUUGUAUAGGUUCUACCCAAGAAUUUCCGCACCUGCGAAGCCUGGGCUCACGCAUGC
Molecule: long non-coding RNA, 1429 nt
Filed under: Nicotiana benthamiana
Lineage: Eukaryota; Viridiplantae; Streptophyta; Magnoliopsida; Solanales; Solanaceae
Description: long non-coding RNA (NBEN_LNC021552)
Source: RNAcentral